CCUANGGGUGGCAGCAGUUAAGAAUCUUGCGCAAUGGGCGACAGCCUGACGCAGCGACGCCGCGUGGACGAUGAAGGCCUUUGGGUUGUAAAGUCCGAUAAGCAGGGAAGAAUAAGCAGGGUACAAUAUGCCCUGUGAUGACGGUACCUGCCUAAAGCCUCGGCUAACUACGUGCCAGCAGCCGCGGUAAUACGUAUGAGGUAAGCGUUGUUCGGAAUUAUUGGGUGUAAAGGGCGUGUAGGCGGGGGACUAAGUUAGAUGUGAAAGCCACGGGCUUAACUCGUGAAUUGCAUCUAAUACUGGUUCUCUUGAGUUCGGGAGAGGAGAGCGGAAUUCCAGGUGUAGCGGUGAAAUGCGUAGAUAUCUGGAAGAACACCAGUGGCGAAGGCGGCUCUCUGGCCUAGAACUGACGCUAAGGCGCGAAAGCGUGGGGAGCGAACGGGAUUAGAUACCCCUNUANUC
This 462-nucleotide ribosomal RNA is filed under the name uncultured bacterium. RNAcentral describes it as "bacterial SSU rRNA". It matches the Rfam family "Bacterial small subunit ribosomal RNA", at positions 338 to 795 of the family's 1533-position model. The record is from RNAcentral.